Molecule: non-coding RNA, 81 nt
Organism: Erinaceus europaeus (western European hedgehog)
Lineage: Eukaryota; Metazoa; Chordata; Mammalia; Eulipotyphla; Erinaceidae
Source: Rfam
CUGUGUGCGGAUGAUGACAACAUGUCUGGCUGAGUCCCCGUGAUGGUCCAGUCUCAAAGUAAACGCCCUGACGCACACUGG